Molecule: RNA transcript, 1955 nt
Organism: Oreochromis aureus
Lineage: Eukaryota; Metazoa; Chordata; Actinopteri; Cichliformes; Cichlidae
Gene name: major histocompatibility complex class I-related gene protein-like
Exons: 6
Source: RefSeq, a predicted model, not a curated record
GUACACGCUGGUACAGGUAAUCGCUGGCAACGACAUCGGCCGCUUGCAUAAACUAUGCGGAAGAUUAAAUAAGGACUAAUUUCCGAAGUAUACUUCUGCAACAAGAGCAAUGAUCGUUCCAAAAUUAAGGAUAAAGAAAAGAUGGAAAUACUUUUGUUGCUGUUUUUGUUGCUUCACUUAUGUUGUGAUUUAUUGGCAGUGAAACACUCACUGAAGUAUUUCAUCAGUGGAUCUUCUGGAGUCCCAAAUGUUCCAGAGUUUUCUGGUGUAAUGGUGGUUGACGGCAUUCAGACGGGUUAUUGUGACAGCAGCAAUAAGACAUUAAAACCACAACUGGACUGGGCAAAGAAAAUAUUACAAACUAAUCCUGAGCAGCUGGAGUGGUACACUCAGAAGUGUUUUGAGGAUCAGCCAAAUGUCUUCAGAGGCCACAUUUUUAGAUGGAAGCGGCGUUUCAACCAAAGUGGAGGUGUCCACGUCAUACAGAGGAUAAGUGGAUGUGAAUGGGAUGAAAACACUGACAGUGUGACCGGAGUGUUGAAGUAUGGCUAUAAUGGAGAAGGCUUUCUUGAAUUCGACCUGAAGACACUGACGUGGAUCGCACUGAAACCAGAGGCUGACAUGAUCAAACUGAAAUGGGAUGCUGAUCGGACCAGAACAAUGGAGAACGAAGACUUUCUCACUCAGACCUGUGCAGAGUGGCUGAAGAUGUAUGUGGACAAUGGGAAAAGAUCCCUGCACAGGACAGUUCUUCCCUCAGUGUCGCUCCUCCAGAAAACUCCCUCCUCUCCAGUCAGCUGCCACGCUGCAGGUUUCUAUCCUGACAGAGUCAUGAUGUUCUGGAGAAAAGAUGGAGAUGAGAUUCAUGAUGGUGUGGGAAAAGGAGAUAUCCUCCCAAACGAUGAUGGCACCUUCCAGAUUAAUGUUGAUCUGAAUGUUUCAUCAGUCAAACCUGAAGACUGGUGGAGAUACGAGUGUGUGUUUCAGCUCUUGAGUGGUGAGAACAUCAUCGUCACUAAACUGAAUGAAACAAUGAUCAGAACCAACUGGAGAGAAAACAUAUUUGGGACUGGCAGAGAGAAACCCUCUGAUAUGACAGUUCCCAUCAUUCCUGCAGUAGUUGUUCUUGUUCUCAUCAUCGUUGCUGCUGCUGCUGGAUUUGCUGUUUACAAAAAGAAGAAAGGUGAGAGAUUCAGAAGCAACAGUGCGAGGCUCAGUUACAUUAUUUCUGUAUUACCCUAUGUAUUAAACAUGGUUAUCCUGAAUUUAUGUAAAAGAGUGGGAUAGUCAGGCAUUUCAAGUGGGAUUGUUUUUUUUAAGUUUCAGAGAGGCGAUCUACAUCAUCUCCUGACAACAAUGGUGAACAGAUUCAACUGAAUCAGGUUAAAUAGACAAACGCAGGACUCUGCACUCUCCAGUUAAAUAAGAAUAAAAGUUUUUUUUAUUUUGUUAUAUGAACUUGACUUUUUGUUUAGUUUUUAAUUGUUUUAUAAUAAAAAAGAAUGUUUAAAUGUUUACAAUACAUUUAGGCAUUUUCAUUUUUGUCUAUGAGUCUCUGUAUCAUUACAGCUAAAACUGUUUUGUUCUAUUCUAAACUUUUGUAGGGAUAACAAAUUUGUUGAGUGGUGCUUUCUUUCUAUUUCUGUUUCUUUAGAACCUUCGUUUUCUAUUGAUUGUUGUGUUUUAAAUCUUAUUGCACUAAAGAGCAAGGUGAGCUCGUUUAUGCACUGUGAGAUUCUGUGUCAUGUGAUACCAGUGAUAUGUUUCUCAGAACAUUUUGAUUUAUUAAAACUGUUAAAGCUGCUCUCUAUGUUUGAGUGCAGUCAUUGAAAAAAAUCCACAAAAAGAGAUUUUUGUGUGUAGUUUCAUAUAUUGCCCGCUGUUAUUAUUUUAUUUGAUUUAAGUUUUGUUAUUAAAUAUGUUUUGUCAUAUUAAAGUUAUCCGUUUAAGCUUCA